RNAcentral lists this ribosomal RNA (354 nucleotides) under uncultured Polaromonas sp. RNAcentral describes it as "bacterial SSU rRNA". It matches the Rfam family "Bacterial small subunit ribosomal RNA", at positions 1025 to 1382 of the family's 1533-position model. The record is from RNAcentral. Lineage: Bacteria; Pseudomonadati; Pseudomonadota; Betaproteobacteria; Burkholderiales; Comamonadaceae.
AACCGUAACACAGGUGCUGCAUGGCUGUCGUCAGCUCGUGUCGUGAGAUGUUGGGUUAAGUCCCGCAACGAGCGCAACCCUUGUCAUUAGUUGCUACAUUUAGUUGGGCACUCUAAUGAGACUGCCGGUGACAAACCGGAGGAAGUGGGGAUGACGUCAAGUCCUCAUGGCCCUUAUAGGUAGGGCUACACACGUCAUACAAUGGAUGGUACAAAGGGUCGCCAACCCGCGAGGGGGAGCCAAUCCCAUAAAACCAUUCGUAGUCCGGAUCGCAGUCUGCAACUCGACUGCGUGAAGUCGGAGUCGCUAGUAAUCGUGGAUCAGAAUGUCACGGUGAAUACGUUCCCGGGUCUU